UGCGGAUUAUUCGAUGCAACGCGAAGAACCUUACCAAGGCUGGACAUGCACAGGACGCCGGCAGAGAUGUCGGUUCCCUUAUGGCCUGUGUGCAGGUGGUGCAUGGCUGUCGUCAGCUCGUGUCGUGAGAUGUUGGGUUAAGUCCCGCAACGAGCGCAACCCUUGUCUCAUGUUGCCAGCACGUUAUGGUGGGGACUCGUGAGAGACUGCCGGGGUCAACUCGGAGGAA
Molecule: ribosomal RNA, 229 nt
Filed under: uncultured bacterium
Lineage: Bacteria
Description: partial 16S ribosomal RNA
Rfam family: Bacterial small subunit ribosomal RNA
Source: RNAcentral